Molecule: long non-coding RNA, 856 nt
Organism: Ziziphus jujuba (common jujube)
Lineage: Eukaryota; Viridiplantae; Streptophyta; Magnoliopsida; Rosales; Rhamnaceae
Exons: 2
Source: RefSeq, a predicted model, not a curated record
UCCAACUUCCAACAGUAUGUAAACUCUAUUUUCCUUCUUGGUUCGGGCCACUCAGAGCUUAUCAGCUAAACAGAGCAAAGACUUAACAUCAAACUUUGUGAAAGUUGCAUAGGAAGAAGAUUCAAGACGCAAACAAAUCCUGGGGAAGUGAAGUCUGGUGACUGAUACAUAGGUUGAUGGAUUAAUUCAACAUCCCAUUAGUUUGACGGAUUAAUUCAAAAUUCUUAUGAAAUGGGUUGCCGUACCUCAAAGAAAGAACCCAAGUAUUAAAAUCUGGCUUGUUGGAGGAUCAUGUUGUUCUUGCUUCUAAAACUCCUAUGAUCAUUGCCAGAGAAGAUGGAUCCUACACACAGAUGAUAGGCCACGUAGUAUACCAGUGUAUAAUGCAUACUUUUAUUGAAGCUGACAAGAUCGAAAACAGCCCAGUUUUCACUGUGACAACCUGAGAUUUCUCAGCAAUCAGCAUCCAUAUAUCAAGCAAGCAGCAAGCGAUGUGUAUAAGUGGGUAUCUUCAACAUUCUCCAUUAUGGAACCUAGUCUAUGAUUGGUUCUAAGUAGAAUGUUUGUCUCUCUGCCUUUUUUGUUCAAGUUUCCCGAUUUGAAAGGGAUUAAUUGCCUACUCAUAUUGAUUAGUGUUAAGGGGCUUUUGUUUUUUUCUUUUGCAAAAAAGAGGAAAGGAAGGGAUUCCUUGAGGGUAUAUUGAAGUUCAAGUUCGCCCGGUGGAUAUAUUGUAUUUUUGGUUUGUGCUUUUGCUUAAACAUCAAGAGGACAAAGAUGGGGAAGAAGAAAGGGUUAGCUUGUAAGGCUCUGACUUUUUCUUUCUUUCUUUGGUGAAUAAGGCUAUUGACCUUUUCAA